RNAcentral lists this ribosomal RNA (402 nucleotides) under uncultured bacterium. RNAcentral describes it as "bacterial SSU rRNA". It matches the Rfam family "Bacterial small subunit ribosomal RNA", at positions 917 to 1322 of the family's 1533-position model. The record is from RNAcentral.
GGGCCCGCACAAGCGGUGGAGCAUGUGGUUUAAUUCGAUGAUACGCGAGGAACCUUACCAGGGCUUAAAUGUAAGUUGCAUAGAUCAGAGAUGGUCUUUUCUUCGGACUACUUACAAGGUGCUGCAUGGUUGUCGUCAGCUCGUGCCGUGAGGUGUCAGGUUAAGUCCUAUAACGAGCGCAACCCCUGUCGUUAGUUGCCAGCAAGUUAAGUUGGGCACUCUAGCGAGACUGCCAGUGCAAACUGUGAGGAAGGUGGGGAUGACGUCAAAUCAUCACGGCCCUUACGUCCUGGGCUACACACGUGCUACAAUGGCCGGUACAGAGAGCAGCCACUACGCGAGUAGGAGCGAAUCUAUAAACCUUAUCUCAGUUCGGAUCGAAGUCUGCAACUCGACUUCGUG